Non-coding RNA from Sus scrofa (pig), 1725 nucleotides. Lineage: Eukaryota; Metazoa; Chordata; Mammalia; Artiodactyla; Suidae. The record is from RefSeq and is a predicted model, not a curated record.
UGGGGCUGUCAUGUCCAGUCUGCCCCCCUCCCCUACAUGCUGGCCUCCACUUUGGGAAUUUUUGUCACAGAGUCCUUCCAUCAGAAUGAUUCUUAAAACAGCCCUCAGCCUUAAUUUAAGCCUUGAUGUCAAUAUAAAUUAGUGGGUUCCCAGCAUGGAGAUUUAGGCCGUGGGGGAGGGGGCGUUUGUGGAGAAGGACUGUUUGCCUGGGAGGGAGCCCCAGAGAGCAACACAGGACUUGUUUGGGCAGGUUUCAGGUUUCAGGACAGUUCAGCCUCAGUGAGGAGACUGGGCUUCCUCCAAGGGCGCUGGCCUGACCCAGAGCCUCAACAGGAGCCCCCAGAGAGGGUGUCAGACUCCGGGGCAGUUGAGGCGGGGCCCUCUGGGAGGCGGGGGUGCGGUUUUCUGGCCCUGGUUCCUCUUCCACAGCCCCACCCUGGGUUCUGUGGGCCCUUCCAGGGAAACUCAGAAGAAUCACAGUGCUGCAACUUCUCACUUCAAAAGAAAACGUCCCUUUUAUCUCUCUGCUAAGAUUAGGAGGCCAGGCACAUUGACUUGUGUCUGAAUACUUUAAACACUCUUGGGAAAACAUAAACAGGAUUUAUAUGAAAUGCUUUAAUCCCCCCAAAGAGCAGUGAACUCUCCUGAAAGGGCACCAGCCCUCCGAGAGUUGCCUGAGAUCAUAUUUGCUGGUGUCUGUUUCUCACCUGGGCCUUGGCAGUGGCCUAACUUCAAUCACAGACCUCUCCCUGGGGCUCCGUGGACACAGGUGCUACACUGGGGACACAGAAACAUGUUUCCCUUGGGAUGAGCUGCCAUGUGUCAGAAGCCUUGCCCAGCUUAUGUGGCUGAAAGACUUGGGAUAUAGGAGGCGAGAGGAGAGAAGAUACCAUGAGAACAUAAAAAAGCAAGCCUCAGACUGGGAGAAAACAUGGACGGAUUUGUAAGGAGACAUAUUAAGAACUCUUGCACCUUGAUGACUAAUAACCCAAAGAAAAAAUGGGCCAAAGACCAGGACACUUACAAAGAAGGUGCACAAAUGUCUGAGCAAGUGAAGUGAUGCUCAGGGAAAGAUGAAGGAAAUGGCAGCAAAAUACCACCACGCGCUCGUUGGCUUGGCUGCAGUUAAAUUAACUCCAAGUGCUGGUGAGGACAGGGAGCAGCUUGCCGGUGGGGAUGAGAGAAGGCAGAGUGUUUUGAAAACAUUUUGGCAGGUCCUUUAAAAGUGAAUUGUACACGAAAUCUGUGACCCAACCCAGCCUUCCCAGUCCUAAGUCAAGUUACUCAAGAGAAACAGACAGGUGUGUCCAGGACAUGAAUGUUCAUUGCAGCUUCGUUUUAAGUAGCCCAAAGAGGAAACAACCCACAUGUUCAUUCUAAGGGUAAGUGAAAACCCAUUUCUCCGUUUCUAUAAAUAGGCCACAGAACCAUUUUCCCUUUCUUGAGUGUUUUCUGGGAGACACAGCAAGUCUCGUCCUUGCUCUGUUUGAAGAGUCCGUCUCUCCAGGAAGGAGCUGGGCUCCAGCGUUAUGGGGAAAGGUGUUUCUCUACCCAAGCAGACGGACUCAGGAAUGAGCUCCAGGCUCCUUCAUGGGAAAUGUGACACCGAGUGGAGCGGUGGUUUAGUCUCUGGGAGAUAAGAGAAAUGAUUGUUCUUUCUUUUCCUUGGCUUCGUCAAUAUAUCAGAUUUUCCCCCGACUUUGUAGUCAUUCUCCAGCUGCAGUA